This 374-nucleotide long non-coding RNA is filed under the name Monodelphis domestica (gray short-tailed opossum). RNAcentral describes it as "lncRNA (ENSMODG00000048774.1)". Lineage: Eukaryota; Metazoa; Chordata; Mammalia; Didelphimorphia; Didelphidae. The record is from RNAcentral.
GGUGGCUGUGCUACAUGAAUUCAUAAGAAGUAUUUGAUUACUAUUUCUGCAACAUUCCUUUUCCUUCUCUUAAGCAGGGGAAAAGAUGAAUCCUUCCAGCCCACACCAAAAGAUGUGGUCCAAGUCAGGAUCCAAGAGAGUCAACAAGAUGUCAAGUCAAGCCAAAUUCACAGUGCCACAGAAUCCAAUCAGGAGUUGAAACGAGACACCAUGGAUUCAAGAUCUUCCUGAAUAUCACAGCAAACGGUCAGAGGCAGACUUCAAACCCUCAUCCUUCAGAUUCUAAAGGUAAUAUAUUCUAUAACAAUAAGAAACUUCCCUGUACUAGAGAGAUCUCUUGUGUCAUGAGAGUCUCUUAUCCAAGGGUUAUGUAU